Molecule: long non-coding RNA, 1351 nt
Filed under: Mus musculus (house mouse)
Lineage: Eukaryota; Metazoa; Chordata; Mammalia; Rodentia; Muridae
Description: predicted gene, 29707
Source: RNAcentral
AGUUUGUGUUUGGAAUUGGAUCCAGUUGUACCGAUUUACUCCACUGUUUGCUACAAGAUUCAGCAGCUGUUCCGUGUGGGGGCCCCUGUUCCUGCUGUUCCCAGGCACCCGCUGGCAGGACAAAGCACCUUUCCCCAGGUGUGGAGAGCCAUGCCUGUACCGUUCCUCCAAUCUGCCCUUACACAAAUGUACCACAAAAUUCUCUUCAGCCUGGGAGUGUGGCAGGAAGAAGAGCUACUGGAUGCAUGGCUACAUUAGGAAGACCCAGAUGGAAGGGAAACUGGGCAAGCAAAUGAGUCUCUCUGGGGAUCAUGUGAUCGAAAUGUUUGUGGAAAAAAACAUACCCCAGACCAGAAGACAGAGUUAAGUAAAUGUUCAGUGUUGUUCUCAUAAUCUCUGCUCUUUGUAAAAGACAAUUAUCUCUGUUCCCUGUUUGCCUCUGACGGACUGUCUAGAAUAUCAAGCGAGGAAUGACAAGCCAUAUUUAUCUGUAAUGAUCAAAACUGAGUAUCACUCUUUCCUCCUCAAUUUAGAGGACUCCUUAUAAUUAACUGAUGAGCUGUCCCCAAGACAGUGCCAUUUAGAGUUGUUACUGACUCUAAUUGGGGAGAAAUGCAUUUGGAACGUUCCAAUUAGAAGCAUUUUUUUUUUCUGCUGUUCUUGUACAUACAUUCAAAGGGAGCGCCUGAGCGUCCAUGCCUUUUGUUUGGGCGGGAGGGGGGCUUGUAGCUUGAUGGAUUGUUUCUGUUUAUACUUAAGUAAAUAUUACAAAUGAAGCUCCUGUGAGCUCUAGAGUAACAAGAGGACCACAGGAGGAAACAGCAGACACAUUUUUCUCUUCAUUAUCAUAAUGAUCAUUAUUAUAGUGGAAAUGGGAUAUUUUGAAGAUGCUGUUGAAAGCACUCCUAAUUCCGUAUAUAGUGGAGGCCUCCUGAUAUUUUGUCUUUGGUUGUGUUUUUGAGAUAAUUACUAAGUAGGCCAGGAUGGGCUGGGACUUGCUCUGCAGAACUCAAGGCCACUUGUAUGUUUUGAUUUCCCACUCCUCCCUAUUUCUUUAUGGAGUUAUGAAGAACUUAGAACUUCAAAGCCAGCAUGGGUGUGUGUUUUCCCAAGUGCAAGAUAGCAGUCUGUGCUGUGGGGUUAAUUUACUCAUCAAACGACUAUGGGAAUAUUGGGGGUUUGUUUUUUGUUUUUUGUUUUUUAGUUGAAGACAUCAACAUAUAGCCAACCAUGGGAGACUGAGGCUGCCUCUGAGUCUCCAGCCCAGAGACGUCAGAGUUGAAGGGGUUCAUCUUUCUGGUGGGAAUCUUUAACCGUGCCUUAUUAAAUACAUUAAACUUUAUUUUCCAAA